RNAcentral lists this ribosomal RNA (711 nucleotides) under Geomyces auratus. Its description in RNAcentral is "partial large subunit ribosomal RNA". It matches the Rfam family "Eukaryotic large subunit ribosomal RNA", at positions 134 to 863 of the family's 3401-position model. The record is from RNAcentral. Lineage: Eukaryota; Fungi; Ascomycota; Leotiomycetes; Thelebolales; Pseudeurotiaceae.
CGGUCCGAGUUGUAAUUUGUAGAGGAUGCUUCGAGCAUGGUCUGGCCUAAGUUCCUUGGAACAGGACGUCAUAGAGGGUGAGAAUCCCGUAUGCGGCCAGGUGCCUACGCUCAUGUGAAGCUCCUUCGACGAGUCGAGUUGUUUGGGAAUGCAGCUCAAAAUGGGUGGUAAAUUUCAUCUAAAGCUAAAUAUUGGCCAGAGACCGAUAGCGCACAAGUAGAGUGAUCGAAAGAUGAAAAGCACUUUGGAAAGAGAGUUAAACAGUACGUGAAAUUGUUGAAAGGGAAGCGCUUGCAACCAGACUUGCGCGCGGCCGAUCAUCCGGUGUUCUCACCGGUGCACUCGGCCGUGCUCAGGCCAGCAUCGGUUUUGGCGGCUGGAUAAAGGCCCUAGGAAUGUAGCUCCUCUCGGGGAGUGUUAUAGCCUAGGGUGCAAUGCAGCCUGCUGGGACCGAGGACCGCGCUUCGGCUAGGAUGCUGGCGUAAUGGUUGUAAGCGGCCCGUCUUGAAACACGGACCAAGGAGUCUAACAUCUAUGCGAGUGUUUGGGUGUCAAACCCAUACGCGUAAUGAAAGUGAACGGAGGUGAGAACCCUUAAGGGUGCAUCAUCGACCGGUCCUGAAGUUUACGGAAGGAUCUGAGUAAGAGCAUAGCUGUUGGGACCCGAAAGAUGGUGAACUAUGCCUGAAUAGGGUGAAGCCAGAGGAAACU